CUGGCGGCGUGCUUAACACAUGCAAGUUCAACGGUAAGGCGCUUUCGGGCGUACACCAGUGGCGAACGGGUGAGUAACACGUGAGGAACGUGCCCUUUGACUUUUGGUAUAGCACUUGGAAACAGGUGGUAAUCCCGAAUAUUCAGUUUCCCGGGCAUCCGGGUUUGUUGGAAAGCUUUUUGCGGUCAGGGAUCGUCUCGCGGCCUAUCAGCUUGUUGGUGGGGUAGUGGCCCACCAAGGCCUUGACGGGUAGCCGGCCUGAGAGGGCGACCGGCCACAUUGGGACUGAGAUACGGCCCAGACUCCUGCGGGAGGCAGCAGUGGGGAAUAUUGCACAAUGGGCGGAAGCCUGACGCAGCAACGCCGCGUGCGGGAUGACGGCCUUCGGGUUGUAAACCGCUUUCACCCAUGACGAAGCGCGAGUGACGGUAGUGGGGGAAGAAGCACCGGCCAACUACGUGCCAGCAGCCGCGGUGAUACGUAGGGUGCGAGCGUUGUCCGGAAUUAUUGGGCGUAAAGAGCUUGUAGGCGGUUGAUCGCGUCGAUAGUGAAAUCCCGGGGCUCAACCUCGGGCUUGCUGUCGAUACGGGUUGACUUGAGGAAGGUAGGGGAGAAUGGAACUCCCGGUGGAGCGGUGGAAUGCGCAGAUAUCGGGAAGAACACCGGUGGCGAAGGCGGUUCUCUGGACCUUUCCUGACGCUGAGAAGCGAAAGCGUGGGGAGCAAACAGGCUUAGAUACCCUGGUAGUCCACGCUGUAAACGGUGGGUACUAGGUGUGGGUCGCAUUCCACGUGAUCCGCGCCGUAGCCAACGCAUUAAGUACCCCGCCUGGGGAGUACGGCCGCAAGGCUAAAACUCAAAGGAAUUGACGGGGCCCCGCACAAGCGGCGGAGCAUGCGGAUUAAUUCGAUGCAACGCGAAGAACCUUACCUGGGUUUGACAUGUACUGGAAGCGCUCAGAGAUGGGCGUGCCUUUUCGGCCGGUUCACAGGUGGUGCAUGGCUGUCGUCAGCUCGUGUCGUGAGAUGUUGGGUUAAGUCCCGCAACGAGCGCAACCCUCGUCCAAUGUUGCCAGCAGUUCGGCUGGGGACUCGUUGGAGACCGCCGGGGUCAACUCGGAGGAAGGUGGGGAUGAGGUCAAGUCAUCAUGCCCCUCAUGUCCAGGGCUUCACGCAUGCUACAAUGGCCGGUACAAAGAGUUGCGAGCCUGUGAGGGUGAGCGAAUCUCGGAAAGCCGGUCUCAGUUCGGAUUGGGGUACUGCAAACUCGACCCCAUGAAGUUCGGAGUCGCUAGUAAUCGCAGAAUCAGCAACGCUGCGGUGAAAUACGUUUCCCGGGGCUUGUACACACCGCCCGUCA
This 1359-nucleotide ribosomal RNA is filed under the name uncultured bacterium. RNAcentral describes it as "16S ribosomal RNA". It matches the Rfam family "Bacterial small subunit ribosomal RNA", at positions 36 to 1399 of the family's 1533-position model. The record is from RNAcentral.